GACGAACGCUGGCGGCGCGCUUAACACAUGCAAGUCGAACGGGGUCCUCGGGCCCGAGUGGCGAACGGGUGCGUAACACGUGAGCAACCUGCCCAUGCAUGGGGGAUAACCCGGGGAAACCCGGGCUAAUACCGCAUACGUUCGCCGGGUGCAUACCCUGGCGAGGAAAGCUCCUGCAAGGGAGCGUGCGUGGAGGGGCUCGCGGCGUAUCAGCUAGCUGGUGAGGUAACGGCUCACCAGGGCGACGACGCGUAGCCGAUCUGAGAGGAUGAUCGGCCACAUUGGGACUGAGAUACGGCCCAGACUCCUACGGGAGGCAGC
Molecule: ribosomal RNA, 321 nt
Filed under: uncultured bacterium
Lineage: Bacteria
Description: bacterial SSU rRNA
Rfam family: Bacterial small subunit ribosomal RNA
Source: RNAcentral